GCUGGGCCCCUCCUCUGCCUGCGAGCCGCGGCUGUCCCUGCGCUGGGGCUGGAAGGGGAUUCGAGUGCCUCCUGCGAAGUGGCUGCUGCGGUUUUCUGCUUUCUGUGGUUGUCUUUUUUCUUGUUUGCUACUUCAAGCUUUCAGGCAAUAGGAAGAUAACCGUAAGUGCUUCCCUGGCGUGCAGUCCAGGAGGGUUUCCAAAAGGUAGCAUCAGGUAUUCUGAAUUAAGUGAGGGGUAAUGGUGAUGACAGCUGCAGCAUUGGCUGGAGUGUCAGUUCAUGUAAAGCCCUACAGAAAGUCACAAAUGCACGGGAAGGGAGUCAUGAUGUACUAGUCUGGGCUUGAACUGAUGUUUUAAUUCUUUCUCCUUCAUUCUGGCAGCAAGAGUGGUGAUUAAAAGUGCUCUUGGAGUUUUUCUGCAAAAGUUUCCUUUACUUAUAAAUUACGGUCUCCUGGAUACCGCUGCCUUUGGCUUCGCUGAGCUCUUCGGUACCACUUUUUUGGAUUUGGUAGCCUUUGUUGUCUUUUUUGGGGCCCUUGUUUGCUACGACUGCCAGGGCCUGCUUGACUGCAGGAGCCCCUUGCACCCCAAGAAGGAAGGCGCGGCCUUGGCGAUGUGAAAGUUGUGGUCUUUGAAGCCGCCAGCCUCUGCAUCCCUCUUCUUGGGGCGUCAGGGGCUUAUAAAUCACGGUAAUAGGCGAGGGAUCGGGAGUUACAGGGAGGAGCUUGUCCGCCAUUGGUGCCUCGAGGUGGCCGCACUGCUGGGAGACGGCGGCAGCUCCUCUUUCCUCCGCACAGAAAACAAGGCCUGCUCCUGUAGAAGCUACAGGUUUCUCCUGUCAUAGGAUUCCUCUACGGCCUUCACAAGUAGUUUCUGAGAGAAUCAUGAGAACACCAGCACAAACCAGGGUGCUAGCAACUUGGAAGCCCAGGGGAAAAAAAAGGAAGUAGUUAAGCACUCGAAUAGGAGCUUUUUUGAGGGACGUGAAACUACAUGUGCUGGCAGAUCAACUGAGGGAUCAGUAACUCCUUCUGCUCAGCUAACAGCUUUCCUAAAAAGAAAAGCAGAUCAAGAAAGAGAAAACAGAUUUGAAAAUCACAUUCUUCCAACAGCCUCCUCAAGGGGAUGGUUGUCUUUUGGGAUGGACAGGAGUGUUGGGAGGAAUGUCAGGAUGAAAGACUGAAAGCAGAUGCAGAGGGGAAAAGAAGUGCUAAAUUGCUGACACUCCUAGAGUGAGCAAAGAAGUGGAGUCAUUCUCUCAUUUAUUCCUGCCAUCCCCAACCUGUUCCUGCACUCCAGCAUGCCCUGACUGCCUGCCCACAUCACGGGACGUAGCUCAGGCUCUUCCAACUAAUGCUGCCUCAUCUGGAAAAGGUUUUGCCCAUGCUCUUCCCUUAUUGUCCUGAUUAACAGGAAAAAGAUAGAUAGAUAGAUAGAUAGAUAGAUAGAUAGAUAGAUAGAUAGAUAGAUAGAUAAAAAUUUGUAGUCCAUAUACUCACCUGUUGGAUCUGAGUAAAAAAAUAAUCCAUGUAGAUGAACCACCAGGAGUAAAGGAUGAACACUGGACAUUAAACAUGAGACUGGCCAUAGAAUAAAAUAUGUCAUGUAGGAAAUGAAGUGUUAUUUCAGAAUUCAGUGAAUUCAGAUUGCUUAGAACUCCUUUUUUUCUUUUCCAUAACAUUGAAAGGUUUGAGUUCCUGUAAACAGGUUGUUUGCUCUUCCUUUUGGUUUAAUUUUGUCUAUCUUCAAAAGUGUCCUAAUACUGCAAUAAUAUACACAUUGUUACUUUAUACCCGCAGAUGCUGGUAAGAAGUUUAGAAAAGUAACACACAAAUAAAGUAUUCUAAACUAAAAACAAGAAAAUUAAGCUACAUCGUGUGGAAAAUAAAAAUUUGGGUAAGCAUUACAUGGACAACCUUGAAAUAUAGAAUAUUUCCUCAAAUAACACAAGCACACUGUAAUGCAUGAAUCUGUUCUAUGUAUUUGUAUAUUGCUGUCAUAUCCACAAGGAUUCCAUGUAAAUUUUGCCAUAAUAAAAAUUUAUUCUAAAUAAUCUUGAAGCUAAGGUAUUGCUUAGGAACAAACUACACUGAUACCUGUUGUAGUUCUUCAUAUGUGUUUGUCUUAAGAAUACUUAAAAAGUAAUAGACCCUGGAUAAUGAUAAAAACUUUGUUAUUUAAGGAGCUCUAAUACAGAGAAGAUCAAGAAAAUAUGACUUAAAAGUGAGCAAAGGCUAAAUUUCAUGGAAAAAAAAUAUUAACUGCACAAUAAGUGCCACACAAAGAGAUCUAGGGAACUAAAAAGCAUCAAGAAAUGGAUUCUAAAAGAGAUUGCAACUUUUUGAUAAAAUGCCAGUUAACACUGGGCAAGGGAGGUAAACCGGGCAUUUUGCAAGGCAGAAUAACUAUACUUAUUAAACCACAUAAAUAAAAUUAAGUUAUCUAAUUGAAUAAUCUGCAAGAAUAUUAACAUCUAUACAUUUGAAAUGAAAUUAAAGCAAAGCUAUAGAGAUGAAUUGCCAAAAAGAACCUGAUGAAAACCAAAUGUGCCACAUGAAAAGGGAAAAAUAAUUCUUACAGGAGUCCUGAAGAGACCAAAAUAGGUAAUCUGAAUAUAGAUAAAUAGAGAGAACGCCACACUUACCACUGCCAAGGAAAAGGUAUGUGAUAUCAAAUACCAAGAGCAGUAAUAGGCAGGGAAGAAUAUGUUUUAUAGUCAUGCAGAAGUUUGACUGAGUUCUCUAUUGUGUACUAUCUAUGUUGUAACCCAUAAAUGUGGUGACAGCAGGGGAAAGACUGCAUAUAAAUCUUUGGGUUUUUUCCCUUGAGUAAGUGUAAUGAUAAAUAAUGUGCAAAGACAGUGAUUCUAAAUAUGUUGGUUUUGGCUGGGUUGAAUUUUCUUCACAGUGUAUGCAUAUGUGUGUGGGGCUAUGUUUAGAAUUUAUGCUGAGUACCAGGAUGAUAAUGUAGUCAUGUUUCUGUUGUUGCUGAGCAGAGCUCACACAGAGCCAAAGCCUUUUCUGCUUUUCAUGCUGCCACAAUGGGGGAGGAAGUUAGGGAUGCCUGGGAGAUUGUAAGAAGACCCAGCCAGGACAGGUAAUCCCAACUGACCAAAGGGAUAUUCCAGACCUUAUCACUUGGUGCUCAGUACAUAAAGCUGAGGGGAGGAAGGGCAAGGCAUUUGAAAUGAUGGCAUUUAUCUUCCCCAGUAAGCACUACAGUGAUCGGGCCUUGCUCUCCCACAGAUGGCUGAACACCUGCCUGCCCAUGGGAAGUGCUGAAUAAUUCUUUGUUUUGGUUUGGUUUUCUUAUGUGUGAGUGCAGCUUUUGCUUUCCUUAUUAAACUGUCUUCAUCUCAA
Long non-coding RNA from Vidua macroura (Pin-tailed whydah), 3360 nucleotides. RefSeq lists it as uncharacterized. The transcript is spliced from 3 exons. NCBI's taxonomy places the organism in Eukaryota, Metazoa, Chordata, Aves, Passeriformes, Viduidae. The record is from RefSeq and is a predicted model, not a curated record.